RNAcentral lists this ribosomal RNA (486 nucleotides) under Clostridium sp. A4-28. Its description in RNAcentral is "bacterial SSU rRNA". It matches the Rfam family "Bacterial small subunit ribosomal RNA", at positions 8 to 521 of the family's 1533-position model. The record is from RNAcentral. Lineage: Bacteria; Bacillati; Bacillota; Clostridia; Eubacteriales; Clostridiaceae. RNAcentral also lists the same sequence under 7 other names.
AGAGUUUGAUCCUGGCUCAGGAUGAACGCUGGCGGCGUGCCUAACACAUGCAAGUUGAGCGAUUUACUUCGGUAAAGAGCGGCGGACGGGUGAGUAACGCGUGGGUAACCUACCCUGUACACACGGAUAACAUACCGAAAGGUAUGCUAAUACGGGAUAAUAUAUUUGAGAGGCAUCUCUUGAAUAUCAAAGGUGAGCCAGUACAGGAUGGACCCGCGUCUGAUUAGCUAGUUGGUAAGGUAACGGCUUACCAAGGCGACGAUCAGUAGCCGACCUGAGAGGGUGAUCGGCCACAUUGGAACUGAGACACGGUCCAAACUCCUACGGGAGGCAGCAGUGGGGAAUAUUGCACAAUGGGCGAAAGCCUGAUGCAGCAACGCCGCGUGAGUGAUGAAGGCCUUCGGGUCGUAAAACUCUGUCCUCAAGGAAGAUAAUGACGGUACUUGAGGAGGAAGCCCCGGCUAACUACGUGCCAGCAGCCGCGGU